This 501-nucleotide ribosomal RNA is filed under the name uncultured bacterium. RNAcentral describes it as "partial 16S ribosomal RNA". It matches the Rfam family "Bacterial small subunit ribosomal RNA", at positions 30 to 523 of the family's 1533-position model. The record is from RNAcentral.
AUUGAACGCUGGCGGCAGGCUUAACACAUGCAAGUCGAGCGGGGGAAGGUAGCUUGCUACCGGACCUAGCGGCGGACGGGUGAGUAAUGCUUAGGAAUCUGCCUAUUAGUGGGGGACAACAUCUCGAAAGGGAUGCUAAUACCGCAUACGUCCUACGGGAGAAAGCAGGGGAGCUUGGGACCUCGCGCUAAUAGAUGAGCCUAAGUCGGAGUAGCUAGUUGGUGGGGUAAAGGCCUACCAAGGCGACGAUCUGUAGCGGGUCUGAGAGGAUGAUCCGCCACACUGGGACUGAGACACGGCCCAGACUCCUACGGGAGGCAGCAGUGGGGAAUAUUGGACAAUGGGGGGAACCCUGAUCCAGCCAUGCCGCGUGUGUGAAGAAGGCCUUAUGGUUGUAAAGCACUUUAAGCGAGGAGGAGGCUACUUUAGUUAAUACCUAGAGAUAGUGGACGUUACUCGCAGAAUAAGCACCGGCUAACCCUGUGCCAGCCGCCGCCGUAA